Molecule: long non-coding RNA, 595 nt
Organism: Cryptomeria japonica (Japanese cedar)
Lineage: Eukaryota; Viridiplantae; Streptophyta; Pinopsida; Cupressales; Cupressaceae
Exons: 4
Source: RefSeq, a predicted model, not a curated record
CUAAGUGGGAUUUUGUUGAAGACGACAUUUAAAGUUAUACAGGGUAAACCAGGUUCUCAUUUGCAGAGAUUUAAAACAGGAGGAGUUGUUGCCUUCAUAUGAUGAUAUUCAACCAAUUGAAGCUCAAGGUCCUCGUUUUCACAGUCUCUCAAUUUUGGUAUAGAGGGAAGGCAAGGAUGAAGCGAAAGAAAGCGGCCUUGCAAAGAUUAUCAGAGGAGUCACUGUCUUCAUACGAUGAUAUUCAACCACUUGAAGCUCAAGAGUCUCCCAAUUUUGGUAUAGAGGGAAGGCGAGGAUGAAGUGAAUGCAGGUGGCCUUGCAAAGAUUAUUAGAGGACUGGUCGUUGCCUUCAUACGAUGAUAUUCAACUACUUGAAACUCAAGGGAAUUUUUUCAUUUUUCCUUUUUGGUUUUGCUGGCUUCUUCAUUUACUCAACUCAUCACCAAUAUUUGUCUCCUUGGGAUGUGGUAAGUAGUAAUCUAUUUUGCUUUGCAGUUUGAAAUAGGUGGAUAUUGAUGUUUGAGAGGCAAGUCUUAGAACACGCCUGCCAUACAUAAUGUCCUUUGGCUACAUCAAACUUGUAUAAUCAUGAUUA